UACGGAGGAUCCGAGCGUUAUCCGGAUUUAUUGGGUUUAAAGGGUGCGCAGGCGGGAGAUUAAGUCGGCGGUGAAAUUUUGCAGCUCAACUGUAAAAGUGCCUUCGAUACUGGUUUCCUUGAGUGUGGAUGAAGUAGGCGGAAUUUGUGGUGUAGCGGUGAAAUGCAUAGAUAUCACGAGGAACUCCGAUUGCGCAGGCAGCUUACUAAACUACUACUGACGCUCAUGCACGAAGGCGUGGGGAUCAAACAGGAUUAGAUACU
Molecule: ribosomal RNA, 263 nt
Filed under: uncultured prokaryote
Description: partial 16S ribosomal RNA
Rfam family: Bacterial small subunit ribosomal RNA
Source: RNAcentral